AUGAACCUCGAAUAUUUAGGCUUGUAUCAGAACCAAAUUUCAGGAUCAAUACCAAAAACUUUUGGGAAGCUGCAAAGGAUUAGAAAACUGCAAAUCUUUAAUAACAAUUUAUCAGGUUCUCUUCCUCAACAAUUUGGAGAUCUCAUCAGCCUUGUUGAAUUUGGGGUGUCUAAAAACUCACUUUCAGGACCAUUACCUGCAAAUAUAUGUUCAGGUGGCAAACUUGAAUAUUUCGAUGUUUCUUCCAAUAUGUUUGAUGGCCCCAUUCCCAGUAGUUUAAAGACUUGCACGGGUUUGAAACAAGUUUACCUUGAGUUGAACCAACUAUCAGGUGAUAUAUCUCAGUAUUUUGGUGUGUAUCCACGACUCAUGACGAUGUCCUUGACAUCGAACAGAUUCUCUGGGCAGAUCUCACUCAAUUUUGGUGCAUGUACCCAACUAAUGGUCCUACAUCUAGCACAAAAUAUGCUCAUGGGUUCCAUUCCACCGAUCCUUUCUAAAUUAUCCAACCUAGAAGAACUAGCACUCGAUUCUAAUCAUCUCCAUGGUGCGAUUCCACCAGAAAUCUGUAGUUUAAAUAAUCUAUAUAGACUGAACUUAUCAUCAAACCAAUUAUCUGGAACCAUACCCACACAGAUAGAAAAGCUACGCAAUCUACAAUACCUUGAUAUAUCUGGGAACAGACUGAGUGGAAUAAUACCUGAGGAACUAGGGACCAGCAUGAAACUACUGUCCUUGAAGAUCAACAACAACAACUUCAGUGGAAGUUUGCCAGGUGCGAUUGGAAAUUUAGCAGGCCUGCAGAUCAUGUUAGAUGUGAGCAACAAUAACUUAACUGGCAUGUUACCGCAGCAACUUGGGAAGUUGGAGAUGCUAGAAUUUUUUAAUUUAUCACACAAUCAGUUCAGUGGCAGCAUUCCGUCGUCCUUUGCAAGCAUGGUGAGCCUUUCAACAGUUGAUGUGUCCUACAAUGACUUGGAAGGACCGGUCCCAACAGCAUGGCUACUCCAAAAUGCUUCAGCAAGUUGGUUUCUUCCCAAUAAAGGUCUAUGUGGUAACCUCUCUGGCCUGCCACCUUGUUAUUCAACUCCAGUAGCUGCUCACAAAAAGGGGAAGAUACUUGGUUUGCUUUUGCCAAUUGUUCUUGUGAUGGGUUUCAUCAUUGUUGCUGCAAUUGUUGUCAUAAUAAUACUUACUCGUAAGAAGAGAAAUCCACAAGAAAGUGUUACUGCUGAAGCAAGGGACCUAUUCUCUGUUUGGAAUUUCGACGGAAGAUUAGCAUUUGAUGAUAUUGUAAGGGCGACCGAAAACUUCGAUGAUAAGUACAUCAUUGGAACAGGAGGAUGCGGCAAAGUGUACAAGGCACAACUCCAAGAUGGGCAGCUAGUUGCUGUGAAGAAGCUUCAUCAGACAGAAGAAGAGUUGGAUGAUGAAAGAUGGUUUCGCAGUGAAAUGGAAAUCUUAUUACAGAUCCGCCAAAGAAGCAUUGUCAAAAUGUAUGGAUUCUGCUCCCAUUCAGCAUAUAAAUUUCUUGUCUACGACUACAUUCAGCAGGGAAGCCUCCACCGAACAUUGGAAAAUGAUGAGCUAGCGAAGGAAUUGGAUUGGCAGAAGAGAAUUGUUGCUGUAAAUGAUGUGGCUCAAGCAAUAUCUUAUUUGCACCACGAGUGCAAUCCACCUAUAAUCCAUCGAGAUAUAACGAGCAACAACAUCUUACUUGAUGCAACCUUCAAGGCUUUCGUCUCGGAUUUCGGCACAGCAAGGAUUCUUAAGCCUGAUUCAUCAAACUGGAGUGCACUAGCGGGGACGUAUGGGUACAUAGCUCCUGGUAUGUACUAG
This 1839-nucleotide ribosomal RNA is filed under the name Triticum aestivum (bread wheat). Its description in RNAcentral is "partial small subunit ribosomal RNA". The record is from RNAcentral. Lineage: Eukaryota; Viridiplantae; Streptophyta; Magnoliopsida; Poales; Poaceae.